RNAcentral lists this ribosomal RNA (234 nucleotides) under uncultured bacterium. RNAcentral describes it as "partial 16S ribosomal RNA". It matches the Rfam family "Bacterial small subunit ribosomal RNA", at positions 524 to 756 of the family's 1533-position model. The record is from RNAcentral.
UACGUAGGGUGCGAGCGUUGUCCGGAAUUAUUGGGCGUAAAGAGCUCGUAGGCGGUCUGUCGCGUCUGCUGUGAAAACCCGAGGCUCAACCUCGGGCCUGCAGUGGGUACGGGCAGACUAGAGUGCGGUAGGGGAGAAUGGAAUUCCUGGUGUAGCGGUGAAAUGCGCAGAGUAUCAGGAGGAACACCGGUGGCGAAGGCGAAUCUCUGGACAGUUACUGACACUGAGGCACGA